GUCUGAUUGGACGAGAUCCCAAACUGGGCGGGGUCUGAGCUGGGGGGGCGGGGCCGAAUUAGAUAAUACCGCAAAUCGGGCGUGGCUGGACAGAUGGGCGGGGCUUAAAAGAGCGGUGUCUGAUUGGACGUUGCUGCAAACUGGGCGUGGCCCGACGGGGGGGGGGGGCUUAACGGGGCGGGGCCUGAUUGGACGUUAGCGCAAACUGGGCGUGGCUGGACUAAUGGGCUGGUCCCGAUCGGGGGAGGGGCCUGAUUGGACACUGCCGCAAAGUGGGCGGGGCCAAAACGGAGGGGCGGGGCGGGGCAUAAUCGGGGCGGGGCGCGAUUGGGCGUUAAUCAAAGUGGGCGGGGCCAAAGCGCGCGGGGGGGCGGGGCCGGAUUGGACAUUGCGGCAAAGUGGGGCGGGGCCUGUCAUGGGCGUGGCUUGAGAGGGCGUGGCCUGAUUGGAUGUUGCCUGAAGGGGGCGGGGCCUGAAGGGGUCCUGCACACCACCAUUACAGCCCAUACCACCAGUGCCACCAGUAUCAUCAGGGCUCCCAGUAUCACCAGUGCCACCAGUGCCACCAGUACCACCAGUAUCACCAGUAUGACCAGUAUCACCAGUGCAACCAGUAGCACCAGUGCUCCCAGUAUCACCAGUACCACCACCAGUAUCACCAGUACUUCCAGUACCACCAGCGUCACCAGUGCCACCAGUAUGACCAGUACAACCCAGUAUCACCAGUGCCACCAGUGCUCCCAGUACCACCAGUGCUCCCAGUGUCUCCAGAGCUCCCAGUAUCCCCAGUACCACCAGUAUGACCAGUAUCACCAGUGCUCCCAGUGUCUCCAGAGCUCCCAGUAUCACCAGUACCACCAGUAUGACCAGUACAACCCAGUACCACCAGUGUCAGCAGUAUCACCAGUGCUCCCAGUACCACCAGUGCUCCCAGUGUCACCAGUACCACCAGUAUCACCAGUGCUCCCAGUAUCCCCAGUGCCACCAGUAGGACCAGUACAACCCAGUACAAUCCAGUGCCACCAGUACCACCAGUAUGACCAGUACAACCCAGUACAACCCAGUAGCACCAGUGCCACCAGUAUCACCAGUACCACCACCAGUAUCACCAGUACUCCCAGUAUCCCCAGUACCACCAGUGCCUCCAGUAUGACCAGUACAACCCAGUACAACCCAGCGCCACCAGUGCUCCCAGUAUCACCAGUACCACCAGUAUCAGCACCAGAACCACCAGUGCUCCCAGUACCACCAGUGCUCCCAGUAUCACCAGUACCACCAGUGCUCCCAGUGCCACCAGUGCUCCCAGUAUCACCAGUAUCACCACCAGUAUCCCCAUUGCCACCAGUGCCACCAGUACAGCCCAGUACAACCCAGUGCCACCAGUAUCACCAGUACCACCAGGGCUCCCAGUACCACCAGUGCCACCAGUAUGACCAGUACAACCCAGUACAGCCCACUGCUCCCAGUACCACCAGUAUCACCAGUGCCACCAGUGUCUCCAGUGCUCCCAGUACCACCAGUACCACCAGUAUGACCAGUAUCACCAGUGCUCCCAGUGUCUCCAGGGCUCCCAGUAUCACCAGUAUCACCACCAGUAUCCCCAGUGCCACCAGUACAACCCAGUACAGCCCAGUACUCCCAGUGCCACCAGUGCCACCAGUAUCACCAGUGCUCCCAGUACCACCAGUGCCACCAGUAUGACCAGUACAACCCAGUACAGCCCAGUGCCACCAGUACCACCAGUAUCACCAGUAUGACCAGUAUCACCAGUGCUCCCAGUGUCUCCAGAGCUCCCAGUACCACCAGUAUCACCAGUACCACCACCAGUACAACCCAGUGCUCCCAGUAUCACCAGUGCCACCAGUAUGACCAGUACAACCCAGUACAGCCCAGGCUCCCAGUACCACCAGUGCCACCAGUAUGACCAGUACAACCCAGUACAGCCCAGUGCCCCCAGUACC
Gallus gallus (chicken) is the source of this 1961-nucleotide long non-coding RNA. Lineage: Eukaryota; Metazoa; Chordata; Aves; Galliformes; Phasianidae. The record is from Ensembl.